GCUGGAGUGGCGCAAUUGGUAGCGCAACGGUCUUGUAAACCGUAGGUUGUGGGUUCAAGUCCCAUCUCCAGCUCCA
Molecule: transfer RNA, 76 nt
Filed under: Corynebacterium matruchotii
Lineage: Bacteria; Bacillati; Actinomycetota; Actinomycetes; Mycobacteriales; Corynebacteriaceae
Also listed under: 2 other names
Description: tRNA-Thr(tgt)
Rfam family: tRNA
About the family: Transfer RNA (tRNA) molecules are approximately 80 nucleotides in length. Their secondary structure includes four short double-helical elements and three loops (D, anti-codon, and T loops). Further hydrogen bonds mediate the characteristic L-shaped molecular structure. tRNAs have two regions of fundamental functional importance: the anti-codon, which is responsible for specific mRNA codon recognition, and the 3' end, to which the tRNAs corresponding amino acid is attached (by aminoacyl-tRNA synthetases). tRNAs cope with the degeneracy of the genetic code in two manners: having more than one tRNA (with a specific anti-codon) for a particular amino acid; and 'wobble' base-pairing, i.e. permitting non-standard base-pairing at the 3rd anti-codon position.
Source: RNAcentral